This 593-nucleotide ribosomal RNA is filed under the name uncultured bacterium. RNAcentral describes it as "bacterial SSU rRNA". It matches the Rfam family "Bacterial small subunit ribosomal RNA", at positions 85 to 713 of the family's 1533-position model. The record is from RNAcentral.
GAGGUAACAACCGGCAGACGGGUGAGUAACGCGUAGGAAUCUACCCCUAGGAGGAACAUAGCCAUUCGAAAGGAUGGGUAAUUUUCCAUAGUCUCUAACGAGUAAAGGACUUAACGGUCCGCCAAGGGAGGAGCCUGCGUUCUAUCAGCUUGUUGGUGAGGUAAAAGCUCACCAAGGCAAUGACGGAUAGCUGGACUGAGAGGUCGAUCAGCCACAACUGCACUGAAACACGGGCAGUACACCUACGGGUGGCAGCAACCAGGAAUAUUGCGCAAUGGGGGAAACCCUGACGCAGCGACGCCGCGUGAAGGAAGAAGGCCCAAGGGUCGUAAACUUCUUUUGCUAAGCCGUUCACAGCUUAGAGAAUAAGUCUCUACUAACUACGUGCCAGAAGUCUCGGUAAUACGUAGGAGACAAGCAUUAUCCGGAUUCAUUGGGCGUAAAGAGUGCGUAGGCGGUAUAGUGUGUCGUAUCUUAAAGACCAAGGCUUAACCUCGGAUAUGGAUACGAAACUACUAUACUAGAGGAUUGACAAGGAUGCUAGAACAGUUAGUGUAGCAGUGAAAUGCGUUGAUAUUAACUGGAAUACCAAA